Molecule: transfer RNA, 81 nt
Filed under: Candidatus Choladousia intestinavium
Lineage: Bacteria; Bacillati; Bacillota; Clostridia; Lachnospirales; Lachnospiraceae
Description: tRNA-Leu
Rfam family: tRNA
About the family: Transfer RNA (tRNA) molecules are approximately 80 nucleotides in length. Their secondary structure includes four short double-helical elements and three loops (D, anti-codon, and T loops).
Source: RNAcentral
GCGGAUAUGGCGGAAUUGGCAGACGCGCCAGAUUUAGGUUCUGGUGUUUCGGACGUGGGGGUUCGAGUCCCCCUAUCCGCA